Molecule: long non-coding RNA, 326 nt
Filed under: Elaeis guineensis (African oil palm)
Lineage: Eukaryota; Viridiplantae; Streptophyta; Magnoliopsida; Arecales; Arecaceae
Description: long non-coding RNA (EGUI_LNC050254)
Source: RNAcentral
UGCCUAAAAGAAUUAUCAGUUGGUUGUUGGCGUAAAGGAGGGUGCACAAAGGUGGGGGAGCAACUUAUCUCCCAGAGUCCUAGCCCCCUUGGACUCCUAACAAACUCUAGGUGUUGGUUUAAAAAGGGGAUAAGCAGGCACUUCAUAUGAGAUCUCAUGAUGAAUCAUGAGAGGGUGUGGCGUGAAAAAUAAAAGGGAGAGUGAGGGCACGCACAUGGAGUUGUUACCGCACAAAAGAAGGAAAAAAAAGAGGGCACUCCAAUCACCCUUCCUCUUUCUUCCUCUCUUCCUACGUCCAUGAGAUGGAUGGAUUGGCUCUCUCUCUC